AGAAAUAACUUUUCGGAUCAAUGCCAUUGUUAUAACAAAAAGUGAACCAGCAAAAUAGGUCACAUAAUUACCCAACAAUUACUUCCCAUUUGUCCAUGUUUUUCAUAAAGUACAAGUCAAAAGUUGAACAAAGUCUGCUGAGAUCAAUCCUAGUUAAAAGACACUAAUUGUUCCCAAAAACCAAAAAGUGAAUGACACAAAAGGACAUGAAGCUCUGAUUAUGCAGCAGUAGCUUUCUUUGUAGCAGAAUCAUUCAAGCUUUCUUUGCAGC
This 271-nucleotide long non-coding RNA is filed under the name Coffea arabica (coffee). RNAcentral describes it as "long non-coding RNA (CARA_LNC004607)". Lineage: Eukaryota; Viridiplantae; Streptophyta; Magnoliopsida; Gentianales; Rubiaceae. The record is from RNAcentral.